This 77-nucleotide transfer RNA is filed under the name Janthinobacterium lividum. RNAcentral's name for it is "tRNA-Arg". It matches the Rfam family "tRNA". From Rfam's summary of the family: Transfer RNA (tRNA) molecules are approximately 80 nucleotides in length. Their secondary structure includes four short double-helical elements and three loops (D, anti-codon, and T loops). Lineage: Bacteria; Pseudomonadati; Pseudomonadota; Betaproteobacteria; Burkholderiales; Oxalobacteraceae. RNAcentral also lists the same sequence under 3 other names. The record is from RNAcentral.
GAACCAGUAGCUCAGCCGGAUAGAGCAUCUGCCUUCUAAGCAGAGGGUCGCAGGUUCGAGUCCUGCCUGGUUCACCA